Molecule: non-coding RNA, 2735 nt
Organism: Sus scrofa (pig)
Lineage: Eukaryota; Metazoa; Chordata; Mammalia; Artiodactyla; Suidae
Source: RefSeq, a predicted model, not a curated record
AGGCCAGUGUAACCCUGAUUCCAAAACCAAAGAUGCCACCAAAAAAAAGAGAAAGUUACAGGUCAAUAUCAUUGAUGAAAUACCAAAAUCCUUAACAAAAUAUUAACAAACUGGGACCCUACAGUGGCCCAGCACUGCAAGCCAGUGACUCUAGCCCUAGCACCUGAGUCUGGGGACUCCAUAACCCUGUCCUCGGACCUGUUCCCAUGGAGACAGCUCAAGACUACACAGCACCCCAUGUGCUGACAUGAGAAAAUCUUUUUCUCGUUUGCCUUUGCACUCAAAUAAAGAUGGUUAUGAUGGAGUAAUAUCAACUGAAAAUAUGAGAAAUUAGUUGGUUAAUAGUGAAGUCCAUAAUGAAGAUGGAAGAAGUGGAGAAGUCUCUCAGUUUCUCCAUGUGGAAUUUACAGGAAGAGAUAGUGUUAUUUGCCCCACUUGUCAAGGAACAGGAAGAAUUCCUAGGGCACAAGAAAACCAAUUGAUAUCAUUGAUUCCAUACAGUGGUCAAGAAGAAUAAACUGUAUGGAUGGCUUCUCUGUUUGUUUGCUUCUUUCUGGAUUGGCUAUGUUUUUCCUUUUCCCUCACUAGUGAUUUGAAAUAUAUUGGCAUAAGAUCAGCAUGCAUCAGUUAUGAUAUUCAAAAGCAUACAAUGUAUUUAAAUAUCACAAAUAACAUUAAAUGUAAUGAACAGUAACUAUUAUUCUGUUGAAGUUGAAAAUAUCACUUCACAAGUUCAAUUUUCAAAAACAGUUAUUUAAACAACGUAUUAAUAUUGGUCCACUGGGUAUGAAACAAGUUGAUUAUACAGUACCUACUAUCAUAGCAGAGGAAAUGAGUUGUAUGUUUGAUUUCUGUACAAUGAUAUCCAUCAAAGUGCAUAACAUAGUACUCAUGAUGCAACAACUCACUUUGGACACUCAGAACAGAUAUCCCAGGAAGGGUACCAGUAUGUUGAUUGUGGAAGGAACACAACUUAUCAGUUGGGUCAAUCUGAAUAUCUAAAUGUAUUUCAGCCACAGCAGUAAACACUGAAAAGUGCAGCUGGAGAAAAAGAAAUACCUAUUGGUGUUUUCUGAACUCUAAAGGAUGAGGUACUUACUUCCUGAUAGGAGAUCUUAAAUUGAAUAACCUAAACUUUAUACUUCUGUUUAAGAGUAUAGCUAAAAGUAUGUGGACUUCUAGGUUAUUUCAGCUCUCCACUUUGUGUUCAGAUAUUUGUACCAGGAUCUUUUACUUGAAUCUAAAUUUACCGAUUGGUUUUCUUCUCUUCUGAACCCCAAAGGAGAAAACUUAGACUUCUCCUACAGGACAAUAAAUAAUUAUUUGGAAUUCACAGCUCUAAUCACUAGUGAAAACAUAAUUUUGGUUAUGAACAUAAUUUGAGAAACUUUAUUUCUAAUGUUUUUGAGUCUUUUUCUUUUUUUUGCUGCCCCGCAGCAUAUGGACUUCCCGACCAGGGAUCAGAUCCAAGCUGCAUUUGAGACCUAAGCCACAGCUGCAGCAAUGCUGAAUCCUCAAGCCACUGUGCCAGGCUGGGGAUCAAACCUGUGUCCCAGCAUUCCCAAGACACUGGUGGUCUCAUUGCACCACAGUGGGGUCCCAUUGUGCCACAGCAGGAACUCCUCUGAUGUUUUAAUAGAAUAUAUAAUAAUACUGAGGUCCUGUUAUUCAUAGAAGACUUUAAAAGAAUAAACUUUUUUUCCUGUUUAUAAAUCCCCAGUGCUACUUAGUAGUAUUUCAGCUAUAUACUAUUUUAGCUUUUAGCUAAAAUGUAUUUUUUUAUUUGAAAUCAUACUUAUUUGUGUGUUGUUAGUCUUAUUUCAAGCUAGUACUUGCAUAACACUUAUAAACCAAAAUAAUCUUUGCAAAAUUCUGUACUUUAAAAUCUUAAGAACCUUGAAAUAAUUCAUUUCACAUGUCUUUCCCUGUUAGUAACAGUUCUGUGAAAUUUUUGUGCAAUCUUAUAACAUAAUCAUUUAUUGUACUGUAAGUAAAUUGUGUGACUUUUCUAUAGCUUUAAUAUCGAAGUGGUACAGAUUUAAGUUGCUCAUAAAAAUUUUUUUAAAAAACAGGAAAAUGAAAUUUGGAAACCUCUAGAAUAUGUCUAUGGUUCCAGUUACAUAUUGGAUCAGGCAUAGGUUUGAAAUAAAAUAUUUUGAUGCUCAAGAAAAAUAUUAGCAAACUAAAUCCAACAAUAUAUUAAAAGGAUCAUACACCGUGAUCAAAUGGAUUUUUAUCCCAGGGAUUCAAGGAUGGUUCAGUAUUUGCAGAUCAAUCAGUGUGAUACAUCACAUUAACAAAACAAAAGAUAAGAUCAUCUCUUAUAUGCAGAGAGAGCCUGUGACAAAAUUCAACUUUCAUUUAUAAAACUCUCAACUAAGUGGAUAUAGAGGAAACAUACCUCAACAUAAAAAAUGCCAUAAUAUGACAAACCCACAGCUAGCAUAAUACUCAAUGGUGAAAAGCUAAAGCUUGGAGUUCCCAUCAUGGCACAGUGGUUAACAAAUCCGACUAGGAACCAUGAGGUUGCGGGUUCGGCCCCUGGCCUUGCUCAGUGGGUUAAUGAUCUGGCGUUGCCGUGAGCUGUGGUGUAGGUUGCAGACGCGGCUCGGAUCCCGCGUUGCUGUGGCUCUGGCGUAGGCCGGUGACUACAGCUCCGAUUAGACCCCUAGCCUGGGAAUCUCCAUAUGCCGCGAGAGCAGCCCAAUAAAUGGCAAAAAAGACAAAAAAAAAAA